RNAcentral lists this ribosomal RNA (460 nucleotides) under uncultured Methylomirabilota bacterium. RNAcentral's name for it is "bacterial SSU rRNA". It matches the Rfam family "Bacterial small subunit ribosomal RNA", at positions 977 to 1434 of the family's 1533-position model. Lineage: Bacteria; Methylomirabilota (SeqCode). The record is from RNAcentral.
GGGCUUGACAUCCCACGAACCUGCCUGAAAGGGCGGGGUGCCCGCAAGGGAGCGUGGAGACAGGUGGUGCAUGGCUGUCGUCAGCUCGUGUCGUGAGAUGUUGGGUUAAGUCCCGCAACGAGCGCAACCCUCACCCCUGGUUGCCACCGGGUAAAGCCGAGCACUCGAGGGGAACUGCCAGCGUCAAGCUGGAGGAAGGCGGGGAUGACGUCAAGUCAUCAUGCCCCUUACGUCCUGGGCUACACACGUGCUACAAUGGCCGGUACAAAGGGACGCGAGACCGCGAGGUGGAGCCAAUCCCAAAAAACUGGUCUAAGUUCAGAUUGCAGUCUGCAACUCGACUGCAUGAAGGAGGAAUCGCUAGUAAUCGCGCAUCAGCACGGCGCGGUGAAUACGUUCCCGGGCCUUGUACACACCGCCCGUCACACCACGAAAGCUGUCUGUACUCGAAGUCGCUGAG